This 84-nucleotide transfer RNA is filed under the name Candidatus Iainarchaeum sp. RNAcentral's name for it is "tRNA-Ser". It matches the Rfam family "tRNA". Rfam says of the family: Transfer RNA (tRNA) molecules are approximately 80 nucleotides in length. Their secondary structure includes four short double-helical elements and three loops (D, anti-codon, and T loops). The record is from RNAcentral. Lineage: Archaea; Nanobdellati; Candidatus Iainarchaeota; Candidatus Iainarchaeia; Candidatus Iainarchaeales; Candidatus Iainarchaeaceae.
GCCAGCGUGGCGGAGCGGUCAAACGCACCCGGCUUGAGACCGGGAGCCUGAAAGGGCACGCAGGUUCAAAUCCUGUCGCUGGCG